RNAcentral lists this ribosomal RNA (107 nucleotides) under Mesoflavibacter zeaxanthinifaciens subsp. sabulilitoris. The record is from RNAcentral. RNAcentral also lists the same sequence under 3 other names. Lineage: Bacteria; Pseudomonadati; Bacteroidota; Flavobacteriia; Flavobacteriales; Flavobacteriaceae.
UAAGGUGAUUAUAGCGAUGGGGCUCACCUCUUACCAUUCCGAACAGAGAAGUUAAGCCCAUUAGCGCCGAUGGUACUACAUUGUGGGAGAGUAGGUCGUCGCCUUUU